Long non-coding RNA from Phragmites australis (common reed), 3267 nucleotides. RefSeq lists it as uncharacterized. NCBI's taxonomy places the organism in Eukaryota, Viridiplantae, Streptophyta, Magnoliopsida, Poales, Poaceae. The record is from RefSeq and is a predicted model, not a curated record. The transcript has 2 exons.
UCUGGUGAUAAAAAUACACCAAUAUUCAAAUUCAAAUCUUUCUAGUUGAAGUUUCGAAGUUCAGAAAAUUAGCUUAGGCCAGCAUUUCUAAGAAACUUUACUUCCAAGUACUCAUCUUGGUUGGCUAUGGCCUGAUCCGAAAAUGCUAGGCCAAAGCCAAGGCUAAGCUUAGCACAAAAAAAAAGGUUUGAACAGAAAAUUCCGAUCACAUGAGGCUUACAAUUACAAUAACAAAACCUUUAGUCCUGAGCAAGUUAGGGUAGGCUAGAUUAAACCUAACAAAAAUAUGGUAAUAAAUAAAAAUAGCAUUAUUGUAGUAGUAAAUAGUAAUAGUAGUAAAAUAAACUAGAUUUCUAUGCCAUGGUUGUGGCAUGUGAAUUGCUAAUUUCCACGCAAUUCUAUCUAAAGACAAUUCUUAGGAUAUAUUUCAUUCCUUGAAGUCUUUUUGUAUUGCUUUUUUCCAUGUCAACUUUGGGCAAACCCUGACUCUCCUUGUACUAUUGACACACCAUAGAAUUAUGCUAUGCACUGGUGACUUUGGAGACCUCCACUGGACAUGACCAAGCCAUCACAAGCACAUUAGGCUUUAAACCUCGAAAACAAUAUGCACAUUAAGUUAUGUCCGAACCCGCAUCAUAAAACAUAUAUAUAAUUUCGUCAGUGAUGGUGGUGGAUCAAGCUGGGGCUAGUACAUAUUCUGCAAGACUAGCCCUGAUUCCUGACAGUUUAAUAAGCUUUAAAAAUCAUGUUUGGAUCUGAUAAUAGUUUAGUGCAUCCAAGCUUGAAAGAACAUCAGGCUUGGCUGUUAUGGUAGGUAAUGUGUACCAGAGGCGCAAGAGAAGGGAGCAAGGAAAGGAAUCUGAACCGGAAGAAAGAUAAUGAAAGGAAACAAUACAUAAGGAAAAGAGUAGUCCGAUUCUAUUUGUACUAAUUAAUAUAUAUUCUUCUAUAAUUAUCUUUUCCUUGUUUAGAGUUAUAAGAUUAUUUGCUUAAAAUAGAGAAGGUACGUUUGGCACCUUAGGCUAUAUAAAUAGAGGGGUGAUUUGGAGAUGUAAGCAAGAAAUCGAUAAAGUCUUCCCUCUACCUCUGAGUUGUUCUUCUCUUUUCUCUCUUCUACAAUCAAUAGAACGGCACCCAGGAAAUUCAAGCAUGGGUCCAGACCCCUCCAUAGUUAUUACCUACGAUCAAAGGGUAAUAAAAAAUUGGUACCAGAGGCUAUGUCCACAUCUGAGGAGUCAGCUGAGUCCAACAUGGCGCAAGUGCUGAAGGCACUACAAGAUCUGACCGUGCGCAUUGAUAGGAUGAACCAGCAGUUGGGUGACGUCGCCAGACGACUCACAGUGGCGGAAAAGAGACUUGCUCUGGAAUCAGCCGGCAUCUUGCCACCUUCACCAGGAAUUUUGCAGACUCAAACCAGCUUCACAGCUGUAAUGAGUUAGCCAAACGACUCUUGGGUCUCCGCCACAGUUCCUCGGUAUCAUUAGUUAGAGUUUUCUGUGUAUGACGCCAAGGAGGAUCCUUUGGGUUGGGUUAAUAAGUGUGAGCAAUUUUUUUGGGGCCAAAAGACGGAAGAAUCUGACAAGGUAUGGUUAGCUUCUUAUCACUUCACAGGCAUUGCACAAUAUUGGUAUUUUCAGUUGGAACGUGACUUAGGGCAACCAGAUUGGGGCCGUUUUAAAAAACUUUGUACUAUGCAUUUUGGCCCACCCAUCCAAAGCAAUCCUUUAGGUGCUCUGGCUCAUCUUCCGUUCCAAGGUGCGGUUCAAGAUUACAUCAAUCAAUUCAUGAAACUUUUAUGCAGAACUGAAGCCCUACAUCCUACACAUCAGAUUUAGCUAUUCACUGUAGGAUUGCCUGAUCAGAUUAGAAUUGAUGUGGAAUUACAAAAUCCUUUAGAUCUUCAGAUGGCUAUAAGUCUGACUAGGGCGUAUGAGCGUCACAAUCAAUCUACUCCUGCUCCAACACCACUUAAUCGCUCAACUAAUCGGCCUCCGGUAGCACCAUGCUUGUCUACUUCGGCACCCGGCGUAGUUUGACCUGACAACGUUAUAGGUCCUGCAACACCGUCACAGGUGCUAACAGUGUAGCCUGGUCUCCCUCUCCGUCAUCUCAAUCCAACUGAGAUGGCUGAGCGCCGUAAAAAGGGUCUCUGCUUUAAUUGUGAUGAGUAGUACGUCCGAGGACAUCGCUGCGCGAAGUUAUUUUACAUUGAGGUAGAUGAUGAUCUAGACUUUUGUGAAGCUACUCAGGCUGCCGAACCUGAUCCUAAUGCUUCAGAAUCAAAUCCAACCGUGUCCCUGCAUACAUUGACUAGAUUAUGGACCACUCGAACGUCGAAUACCAUGCAGAUUAUGGUAAAGAUUGGUAGAAAGGAUUUUCUUGCCCUCUUGGACACUAGUUCUACUCAUAAUUUCAUUAAUGCUGACUUGAUUACGGAGAUGGGACUAUGGGAGUAGUGCUUGUGGACUGACCAAGUGUGAGGGUUGAGGUUGCUAAUGGGGACAAAAUUGCGAGUGUGGGUCUUGUUCGCAAUUUACAAUUUGAAGUCGUUGACACAUCAUUCUGUAUGGAUACCUUGGCUAUUACUUUGGGCAAUUUUGAUAUUGUGUUAGGAGUCCAAUGGUUAAAAUCCUUAGGACCUAUUAUGUGGGAUCUAAAUAAUCUUCAUAUGUCUUUUUGGUUGAAAAGGAGGGAAAUCUCAUGGACUGGGGUGGCUGCUUCCCCAUCUAAAGUUUAUGCCGUGGCAUGUACUAAUGAGGAGCUUAUGUCAGGUCUUCUUGCUGAGUUUGAAGGAUGCUUUGCUGAAACAUGUACCCUCACUUGCAGAAAGAUGAGCUCGAGAAGCAGUGUGAAAUUAUGCUGAAGGAAGGUAUAAUUCGGGACAGUACAUCAGCAUUCUCAUAUCUGAUUAUUCUUGUGAAGAAAUCUGACAAUUCAUGGAGAUUUUGUGUGUAUUAUAGGGCACUUAAUGUUGCACAAUUCCUGAUAAGUUUCCUACACCAGUAGUGGAAGAAUUAUUGGAUGAACUGAAAGGUGCUUAUUUCUUCAGUAAAUUGGACCUUCGAUCUGGGUAUCAUGAGAUCCGAAUGUACCCUCCAGACGUGGAAAAGAUAGCAUUUAGAACUCAUCAAGAGCAUUUUGAGUUCUUGGUCAUGCCUUUUGGCCUUACUAAUGCCCCAUCUACUUUUUAGGCCUUGGUGAAUGGAGUCCUUCAUCCAUAUGUUCAGUGAUUUGUGCUUGUCUUUUUCGAUGAUAUAUUGUUCUAUA